UGCAGUCGAGGGGCAGCAGGGACUUCGGUCCGCUGGCGACCGGCGCACGGGUGCGUAACGCGUAUGCAACUUGCCCUGCACAGGAGGAUAACCCGUCGAAAGACGGACUAAUACUGCGUACACUCACAGGGAGGCAUCUCUUAGUGAGGAAAGAAAUUCGGUGUAGGAUAGGCAUGCGUCCCAUUAGCUAGUUGGUGAGGUAACGGCUCACCAAGGCGACGAUGGGUAGGGGAACUGAGAGGUUUAUCCCCCACACUGGUACUGAGACACGGACCAGACUCCUACGGGAGGCAGCAGUGAGGAAUAUUGGUCAAUGGGCGAGAGCCUGAACCAGCCAAGUCGCGUGAAGGAUGACUGUCUUAUGGAUUGUAAACUUCUUUUGUAUGGGAAUAACGGAGCGGACGUGUCCGCUUGUGAAUGUACCAUACGAAUAAGCAUCGGCUAACUCCGUGCCAGCAGCCGCGGUAAUACGGAGGAUGCGAGCGUUAUCCGGAUUUAUUGGCUUUAAAGGGUGCGUAGGCGGCUUGUUAAGUCAGCGGUGAAAUCGUGGGGCUCAACCCCGCAACUGCCGUUGAAACUGGCGAGCUUGAGUGU
Molecule: ribosomal RNA, 594 nt
Filed under: uncultured bacterium
Lineage: Bacteria
Description: bacterial SSU rRNA
Rfam family: Bacterial small subunit ribosomal RNA
Source: RNAcentral